This 467-nucleotide ribosomal RNA is filed under the name uncultured bacterium. RNAcentral's name for it is "partial 16S ribosomal RNA". It matches the Rfam family "Bacterial small subunit ribosomal RNA", at positions 29 to 507 of the family's 1533-position model. The record is from RNAcentral.
ACGAACGCUGGCGGCGUGCUUCACACCUGCAAGUCGCACGGAAAGGCCCUGCUUUUGUGGGGUGCUCGAGUGGCGAACGGGUGAGUAACACGUGAGUAACCUGCCCUUGACUUUGGGAUAACUUCAGGAAACUGGGGCUAAUACCGGAUAGGAGCUCCUGCUGCAUGGUGGGGGUUGGAAAGUUUCGGCGGUUGGGGAUGGACUCGCGGCUUAUCAGCUUGUUGGCGGGGUAGUGGCUUACCAAGGCUUUGACGGGUAGCCGGCCUGAGAGGGUGACCGGCCACAUUGGGACUGAGAUACGGCCCAGACUCCUACGGGAGGCAGCAGUGGGGAAUAUUGCACAAUGGGAGGAAGCCUGAUGCAGCAACGCCGCGUGCGGGAUGACGGCCUUCGGGUUGUAAACCGCUUUCGCCUGUGACGAAGCGUGAGUGACGGUAAUGGGUAAAGAAGCACCGGCUAACUACGUG